UGGUGGCCGGUGGUGAUUGAUCUUGCAGCACGUCUCGUCUUGUCUUCUCGGACACAUAUGUGAAGAAGAGAAGAAACACAUGUGAUGAGCAAGAGACAUGGAAGGAAGGGACACAACGAACAAGGUGAUGAAGAUGGUGUGAGAUGCUUGACGGCGUGUUAUCAAUACUAUUAAAUUAGGAACAUGUCUUAUUGAUAUAUGUUUAGUCCAACUUAAAAUCUA
This 222-nucleotide long non-coding RNA is filed under the name Brassica napus (rape). RNAcentral describes it as "long non-coding RNA (BNAP_LNC001490)". The record is from RNAcentral. Lineage: Eukaryota; Viridiplantae; Streptophyta; Magnoliopsida; Brassicales; Brassicaceae.